This 498-nucleotide ribosomal RNA is filed under the name Exiguobacterium indicum. RNAcentral's name for it is "bacterial SSU rRNA". It matches the Rfam family "Bacterial small subunit ribosomal RNA", at positions 202 to 692 of the family's 1533-position model. The record is from RNAcentral. Lineage: Bacteria; Bacillati; Bacillota; Bacilli; Caryophanales.
AGGCGCUCCGGCGUCACCUUGAGAUGGCCUUGCGGUGCAUUAGCUAGUUGGUGGGGUAACGGCCCACCAAGGCGACGAUGCAUAGCCGACCUGAGAGGGUGAUCGGCCACACUGGGACUGAGACACGGCCCAGACUCCUACGGGAGGCAGCAGUAGGGAAUCUUCCACAAUGGACGAAAGUCUGAUGGAGCAACGCCGCGUGAGUGAUGAAGGUUUUCGGAUCGUAAAACUCUGUUGUAAGGGAAGAACACGUACGAGAGGAAAUGCUCGUACCUUGACGGUACCUUACGAGAAAGCCACGGCUAACUACGUGCCAGCAGCCGCGGUAAUACGUAGGUGGCAAGCGUUGUCCGGAAUUAUUGGGCGUAAAGCGCGCGCAGGCGGCCUUUUAAGUCUGAUGUGAAACCCCCCGGCUCAACCGGGGAGGGCCAUUGGAAACUGGAAGGCUUGACUACAGAAGAGAAGAGUGGAAUUCCACGUGUAGCGGUGAAAUGCCUA